Small nucleolar RNA from Poeciliopsis prolifica (blackstripe livebearer), 71 nucleotides. RefSeq annotates it as small nucleolar RNA SNORD73. The record is from RefSeq and is a predicted model, not a curated record. The transcript has a single exon. Lineage: Eukaryota; Metazoa; Chordata; Actinopteri; Cyprinodontiformes; Poeciliidae.
AGCGCGUGAUGACAAACUGUUUCGGUCCCAUAUGAGUGCCUGAUUACUGCUUAAUGAGAUCUCCUGAUGCU